UACGAAGGGUGCAAGCGUUACUCGGAAUUACUGGGCGUAAAGCGUGCGUAGGUGGUUUGUUAAGUCUGUUGUGAAAGCCCCGGGCUCAACCUGGGAAUGGCAAUGGAUACUGGCAAGCUAGAGUGCGGUAGAGGGUAGUGGAAUUCCCGGUGUAGCGGUGAAAUGCGUAGAGAUCGGGAGGAACACCAGUGGCGAAGGCGGCUACCUGGACCAGCACUGACACUGAGGCACGAAAGCGUGGGUAGCAAACAGG
This 253-nucleotide ribosomal RNA is filed under the name uncultured bacterium. RNAcentral describes it as "partial 16S ribosomal RNA". It matches the Rfam family "Bacterial small subunit ribosomal RNA", at positions 524 to 776 of the family's 1533-position model. The record is from RNAcentral.